Molecule: ribosomal RNA, 500 nt
Filed under: uncultured bacterium
Lineage: Bacteria
Description: partial 16S ribosomal RNA
Rfam family: Bacterial small subunit ribosomal RNA
Source: RNAcentral
ACUCAAAUGAAUUGACGGGGGCCCGCACAAGCGGUGGAGCAUGUGGUUUAAUUCGACGCAACGCGAAGAACCUUACCUGGGCUCGAACGGCUUCUGAAUGGCUUUAGAAAUGGAGUCGGUCCCGCAAGGGACAGGAGUCGAGGUGCUGCAUGGCUGUCGUCAGCUCGUGUCGUGAGAUGUUGGGUUAAGUCCCGCAACGAGCGCAACCCUUGUCCUGUGUUGCCAACCCGCGAGGGUGCACUCUCAGGAGACCGCCAGCGAUAAGUUGGAGGAAGGUGGGGAUGACGUCAAGUCAUCAUGGCCUUUAUGUCCAGGGCUACACACGUGCUACAAUGGGCGGUACAAAGCGCAGCCAACCCGCGAGGGGGAGCUAAUCGCCAAAAACCGUUCUCAGUUCGGAUUGCAGGCUGCAACUCGCCUGCAUGAAGCUGGAAUCGCUAGUAAUGGCAUAUCAGAACGAUGCCGUGAAUACGUUCCCGGGCCUUGUACACACCGCCCGU